Telopea speciosissima is the source of this 404-nucleotide long non-coding RNA. RefSeq lists it as uncharacterized. NCBI's taxonomy places the organism in Eukaryota, Viridiplantae, Streptophyta, Magnoliopsida, Proteales, Proteaceae. The record is from RefSeq and is a predicted model, not a curated record. The transcript is spliced from 3 exons.
AUCUCCCCUCUCUUGCUCGAACAAUGUAACCAGAUCAGAUUAAGAUUCUAUGGGUAACCCUUAUAUUUGGGAUAAGAAUUAUCCAUCCUGUUGUUCCUGAAAGCACAGCAACCAAUGGUGUAGACAAUGACAAGGAAGAUGAGGAAGAUGAUGUUGACAAUGGCAACCUUCUUCCUAAGACUCUUUAUAUUUUGAAGCACUCCACCCUUACAAGACUGGCAGUUGUAGCAGAGAUCAUUUUCAUUGUUGUUCCAAGCUGUGCACUCAGAAUCAGUGAAGGAGGUUGUGUUGCUUGGGUUGGUCCAUUCGAUUGGAGUCACAUAGGUGAAGUUACAUGAAGUUGGAGGCUUACAACAACCAGACUGCAGAUCACAUCACCAAAAGAAAACCAAAUAACACAUUAA